This 85-nucleotide ribosomal RNA is filed under the name Oxytropis campestris. RNAcentral describes it as "partial 26S ribosomal RNA". It matches the Rfam family "Eukaryotic large subunit ribosomal RNA", at positions 27 to 111 of the family's 3401-position model. The record is from RNAcentral. Lineage: Eukaryota; Viridiplantae; Streptophyta; Magnoliopsida; Fabales; Fabaceae. RNAcentral also lists the same sequence under 1 other name.
GCUGAGUUUAAGCAUAUCAAUAAGCGGAGGAAAAGAAACUAACAAGGAUUCCCUUAGUAACGGCGAGCGAACCGGGGAAAUUCUA